Molecule: non-coding RNA, 31 nt
Filed under: Homo sapiens (human)
Lineage: Eukaryota; Metazoa; Chordata; Mammalia; Primates; Hominidae
Source: RNAcentral
UGGAAAGUGUCUGGCAUCUGGUUAUGUUGGA